RNAcentral lists this ribosomal RNA (207 nucleotides) under uncultured bacterium. RNAcentral describes it as "partial 16S ribosomal RNA". It matches the Rfam family "Bacterial small subunit ribosomal RNA", at positions 568 to 774 of the family's 1533-position model. The record is from RNAcentral.
UGCGUAGGCGGCACCGUGUGUCGGAUGUGAAAUCUUACGGCUCAACCGUGAAAUUGCAUUCGAAACUGCGGAGCUUGAGUACAGGAUGGGAGAGCGGAAUUCUUGGUGUAGCGGCGAAAUGCGUUGAUAUCAAGAAGAACACCGGCGGCGAAGGCGGCUCUCUGGAAUGUUACUGACGCUGAGGCACGAAAGCUGGGGGAGCGAACA